GUUUGGUAUCGUCAAUGAAAUACCACUACUCUUAUUGUUUCCUUACUUACUUGAUUAAAUGGAACGUGUAUCAUUUCCUAGCCAUUAUACGGAUAUAUUUAUUAUAUCUUAUGGUAUUGGGUUUUGAUGCAAGCUUCUUGAUCAAAGUAUCACGAGUUUGUUAUAUAAUCGCAAACAAAUUCUUUAAUAAAACGGUGCAUUUAUGUAUUUUUGAUUUGAAAAUUUGGUAUAACUCCAAUUACUCAGGUAUGAUCCAAUUCAAGGACAUUGCCAGGUAGGGAGUUUGACUGGGGCGGUACAUCUCUCAAAUAAUAACGGAGGUGUCCCAAGGCCAGCUCAGUGCGGACAGAAACCACACAUAGAGCAAAAGGGCAAAUGCUGACUUGACCUCGGUGUUCAGUACACACAGGGACAGCAAAAGCUCGGCCUAUCGAUCCUUUUGGUUUAAAGAGUUUUUAACAAGAGGUGUCAGAAAAGUUACCAUAGGGAUAACUGGCUUGUGGCGGCCAAGCGUUCAUAGUGACGUCGCUUUUGGAUCCUUCGAUGUCGGCUCUU
Molecule: ribosomal RNA, 555 nt
Filed under: Drosophila takahashii
Lineage: Eukaryota; Metazoa; Arthropoda; Insecta; Diptera; Drosophilidae
Description: eukaryotic LSU rRNA
Rfam family: Eukaryotic large subunit ribosomal RNA
Source: RNAcentral